GGAAGUAAAAGUCGCAACAAGGUUUCCGUAGGUGAACCUGCGGAAGGAUCAUUAGUGAAUAUUAGGGCGUCUACUUCGGUAGGGCCUGACCUCCACUUUCUAACUCUGUGCACUUAUUUGGCGGAAAAGGGAAUUAGUAAUCUGUCUAAUGACGAUUGCGACUUCUUACUUUCUGCGGCUUACUUUAAACACUAGUCAAAGUAUGUAACGAAAUAUCGAAACAAAUAAAAACUUUCAACAACGGAUCUCUUGGCUCUC
This 258-nucleotide unclassified non-coding RNA is filed under the name plant metagenome. RNAcentral describes it as "partial contains small subunit ribosomal RNA, internal transcribed spacer 1, and 5.8S ribosomal RNA". The stretch from base 1 to 54 matches the Rfam family "Eukaryotic small subunit ribosomal RNA", at positions 1778 to 1831 of the family's 1831-position model. The record is from RNAcentral.